GCGGACGUGGUGGAACUGGUAGACACGCUAUCUUGAGGGGGUAGUGGCGAAAGCCGUGUGGGUUCGAGUCCCACCGUCCGCA
Molecule: transfer RNA, 82 nt
Filed under: Guyparkeria sp. XI15
Lineage: Bacteria; Pseudomonadati; Pseudomonadota; Gammaproteobacteria; Chromatiales; Thioalkalibacteraceae
Description: Halothiobacillus sp. XI15 tRNA
Rfam family: tRNA
About the family: Transfer RNA (tRNA) molecules are approximately 80 nucleotides in length. Their secondary structure includes four short double-helical elements and three loops (D, anti-codon, and T loops).
Source: Rfam by way of RNAcentral